UGGGGAAUAUUGCACAAUGGGCGCAAGCCUGAUGCAGCCAUGCCGCGUGUAUGAAGAAGGCCUUCGGGUUGUAAAGUACUUUCAGCGGGGAGGAAGGGAGUAAAGUUAAUACCUUUGCUCAUUGACGUUACCCGCAGAAGAAGCACCGGCUAACUCCGUGCCAGCAGCCGCGGUAAUACGGAGGGUGCAAGCGUUAAUCGGAAUUAAUGGGCGUAAAGCGCACGCAGGCGGUUUGUUAAGUCAGAUGUGAAAUCCCCGGGCUCAACCUGGGAACUGCAUCUGAUACUGGCAAGCUUGAGUCUCGUAGAGGGGGGUAGAAUUCCAGGUGUAGCGGUGAAAUGCGUAGAGAUCUGGAGGAAUACCGGUGGCGAAGGCGGCCCCCUGGACGAAGACUGACGCUCAGGUGCGAAAGCGUGGGGAGCAAACAGG
This 429-nucleotide ribosomal RNA is filed under the name Chloroflexota bacterium. RNAcentral describes it as "Chloroflexi bacterium partial 16S ribosomal RNA". It matches the Rfam family "Bacterial small subunit ribosomal RNA", at positions 355 to 776 of the family's 1533-position model. The record is from RNAcentral. Lineage: Bacteria; Bacillati; Chloroflexota.